GACGAACGCUGGCGGCGUGCCUAAUACAUGCAAGUAGAACGCAGUGGCGAACGGGUGAGUAACGCGUAGGUAACUGCCCCACAGCGUGGGAUAACCAUUGGAAACGUUAGCUAAUACCCCAUACUGUGAGAUGGACCGGCGUUGCAUUGGGUAGUUGGUGAGGUAAAGGCGCACCAAGGUGACGAUACAUCGCCGACCUGAGAGGGUGAUCGGCGACAACGGGCCUGAGACGAGGACCGGACUCCUACGGGAGGCAGCAGUAGGGAAUCUUCGGCAAUGGACGAAAGUCUGACCGAGCAACGCGGCGUGAGUGAAGAAGGUGUUCGGAUCGUAACGCUCUGUUGUUAGGGAAGCGGUAACUAACCAGAAAGGGACGGCUAACUACGUGCCAGCAGCCGCGGUAAUAC
Molecule: ribosomal RNA, 407 nt
Filed under: uncultured bacterium
Lineage: Bacteria
Description: partial 16S ribosomal RNA
Rfam family: Bacterial small subunit ribosomal RNA
Source: RNAcentral